Molecule: transfer RNA, 119 nt
Filed under: Naumovozyma dairenensis CBS 421
Lineage: Eukaryota; Fungi; Ascomycota; Saccharomycetes; Saccharomycetales; Saccharomycetaceae
Rfam family: tRNA
About the family: Transfer RNA (tRNA) molecules are approximately 80 nucleotides in length. Their secondary structure includes four short double-helical elements and three loops (D, anti-codon, and T loops).
Source: Rfam by way of RNAcentral
GGUUGUUUGGCCGAGCGGUCUAAGGCGCCUGAUUCAAGGACUAUUAAUCUUUGACUAUGGAAAACCAUAGGAGUACUCAGGUAUCGUAAGAUGCAAGAGUUCGAAUCUCUUAGCAACCA